Molecule: transfer RNA, 74 nt
Filed under: Cordylochernes scorpioides
Lineage: Eukaryota; Metazoa; Arthropoda; Arachnida; Pseudoscorpiones; Chernetidae
Description: tRNA-Thr
Source: RNAcentral
UGUCCAGGGAUGGGAAUCGAACCCACAGUGUUCCGCUUACCGGGCAGAUGCCAUGUCUACUAGGAUACCCUGAC